Molecule: transfer RNA, 62 nt
Filed under: Calamaria septentrionalis (Hong Kong dwarf snake)
Lineage: Eukaryota; Metazoa; Chordata; Lepidosauria; Squamata; Calamariidae
Description: tRNA-Thr
Source: RNAcentral
GCUCUAGUAGCUUACUUUAAAGCAUUGUUCUUGUAAACCAAAGCCGGAUUUUCCCUAGAGCA